This 497-nucleotide ribosomal RNA is filed under the name uncultured bacterium. RNAcentral's name for it is "partial 16S ribosomal RNA". It matches the Rfam family "Bacterial small subunit ribosomal RNA", at positions 28 to 507 of the family's 1533-position model. The record is from RNAcentral.
GAUGAACGCUGGCGGCGUGCCUAAUACAUGCCAGUCGAGCGAACGGACGAGAAGCUUGCUUUUCUGAUGUUAGCGGCGGACGGGUGAGUAACACGUGGAUAACCUACCUAUAAGACUGGGAUAACUUCGGGAAACCGGAGCUAAUACCGGAUAAUAUUUUGAACCGCAUGGUUCAAAAGUGAAAGACGGUCUUGCUGUCACUUAUAGAUGGAUCCGCGCUGCAUUAGCUAGUUGGUAAGGUAACGGCUUACCAAGGCAACGAUGCAUAGCCGACCUGAGAGGGUAAUAUGCCACACUGGACCGGGAGCACGGUCCAGAAUCCUGCGGGAGGCAGCAGUAGGGAAUCUUCCGCAAUGGGCGAAAGCCUGAAGGAGCAACGCCGCGUGAGUGAUGAAGGUCUUCGGAUCGUAAAACUCUGUUAUUAGGGAAGAACAUAUGUGUAAGUAACUGUGCACAUCUUGACGGUACCUAAUCAGAAAGCCACGGCUAACUACGUG